GUCAGAAAAUUUGCCUUUGAGCUGGCAGUGCACUUCAGCUGCCCUUUCCCUGCAUCCUGGUCGAGGAAGAGCAUGGCGGGGAAGGACUGGUUCACCUCCUUCAUGGAGCGCAGUGGCAGCCUCUCCCUUCGGCGUCCAGAGGCCACUAGCCAACAACGGUUGUCCAGCUUCAACCAAACAAAUGUAAACUUGUUCCACCAAAAUUUAAAGACGGUGCUGGACCGGCACCAGUUCCAGGCCAAGGACAUUUGGAACAUUGAUGAAACCGGGGUCACCACUGUCCAGGUGCCAGACCGUGUCGUCACCCAGAUGGGGCAGAAGCAGGUCGGGUCAGUGACCUCAGCAGAGAGGGGGACCCUGGUCACAGUUGCCCUGGCAGGCAAUGCGCAGGGCGACCUUGUUCCGCCAUUCUUCAUCUUCCCCCGUAAGCGGUUCAAAGACCACUUCCUGGACCCGUUGGCUGUGCUGGCAGCGGCAACCCAACUGGCUGGAUGAAGGAGCCAGACUUCCUCCUGUACCUGGCCCACUUGACCAGGCACACCCGUGUGUCCAAGGAGUCGAAGCUGCUCCUCCUGCUGGACAAUCACCCGUCCCACCUGUCAAUUGCAGCAAUUGAUUACUGCAGAGCCAAUGGCAUAGUGCUGCUGUCAUUCCCUCCCCACUGCACCCACAGGUUGCAGCCAAUGGACAUUAGUGUCUUCGGCCCCCUAAAGGGGUACGUAAACAGUGCGGCGGACAGGUGGAUGAGGAGACACCCAGGGAUAAACAUCUCAAUUUAUGAUGUGCCCUCCAUCGUUGCUGAAGCCUUACCAAAGGCUGCGACAGUGAACAACAUUACCUCCGGGUUCUCAAGUCCAGGGAUCUGGCCUUUUAACCCCUCUGCGUUUGAGGAAAAGGACUUCGCCGGAGCCUAUUCCACAGACCGUCCUCCUCCCCAGGCUUCGGGUGACGAGGUCAGCGCUUCUCCAGGUGCCACUUCAGGCAUGGAUGUACCUGAUCGAGCUGCCGGGCCUGACGAAGCUGUCCGGCCUGAGGGAGAGGCUGUUAAGUUCAGCCCGGACAUCGUCCGGCCUUACCCUAAGGCCGGACCUAGAAAGAUCACAAAGAGAAGAGGGAGAAAGAGGACAACUGCUAUACUUACGGACACCCCGGUGAGGGCUGCUUUAGACAGGGUUCGUACGGUCAUGAAAAACCUGGAAAAGUCAUGGAAUUUUAAAAUGGUUAUUUCCAGGCCUAGAAAAGUGCUUGAAAAAAAUAAAGUCCCAAAAGUUUUGGAAAAGUCAUGGAAUUUUUUUUUAUUCAUAUUUUCUUGUCGUUCAUUUACGCUGAGUUUUAAAUCAUGAAUAUGCCUUUAAAUGAAAUACGCUCAAAGUAUAAACAGGCACGCGCUGAAACUAAAACAUACGCAACUGAAACGUUUGUUGGCCAUAGCAACAGUAUCUGAGGGAAGCCAAAAUUAUUCAAAAUGCCAGGGAAGUGUAGGUUCAACAAUGCUUGGUUGCGAAAUGAGAAAUAUAUGUCAUGGGUUUCAUCCGACAAAGACCCGGGCCGAGCUAAAUGUAGGUUAUGUGGUGACAAAACGUUUGACAUAUCUAACAUGGGAGAGGCGGCAUUAACGAGCCAUGCGAAAGGCGCUAAACACCACAGCCAGGGCAACUGCUACGGCAAACAGCACGUCUCUCUCUUUGGUCUACUGCGGAGGUAAUGUGGGCACUGAAGGUGGCUAAUUCGCAUUAUUCAUUUAAGUCAUCUGAAGAUGCUAGCCUGCUCUUAUAAAGAAUGUUCCCCGAUAGCCAGAUAGCAACACAGUUUGCUUGUGGCGAAAGCAAAUGCUCGUUCCUCUGCUCUUUCGGUCUCGCUCCCCACUUCAGGAGUCUGACGUUGUCCAACGUAAUGAAGCAAAGGGCAUACGUCAUUCUCUUCGACGAAAGCCUGAAUAGUUAUUUACAGUCCAAACAGAUGGAUUUACAUGUGAGGCUAUGGGAUGGCGCCGAUGUUAAGACAAAAUACAUCGUGUUUGAUAAAGCUGUUUAAAUGUGAAAUUGUUUUGGUUGAUUAAUGGUCAAAGAGUUAGUUGCCAACUGUUCUGUUACAUUUUGCACUAGAAAAGGGAAAUCAAUGUUUGCACUAGCUGGAUGCUUCUGCAUACUAAAGCUCUUAUUGAUGUCAGUGCUGUGAAUGCAACCAGUAUAUCUAUAAAUGUUCAUUCUUUAAAUCAAACUAUUGUCUCUCAAUUUUGUGUCAUUUAAUGUAUACAGUAUGCCUCCGAAUUCCCAUUGUUAGUUUUAAUACUACAUUUUAUCACUUUUGCACGUUAACACCGAGAUUUCACAAAAUGUUUGGUCAUGGAAAUUUGGUUUACAGUCAUGGAAAAGUCAUGGAAAAGUCAUGGAAAUCCAUUGGUCCAAAAGUGUAUGAACCCUGUUUAGAGGCGGAAAAGCAGGGAACUGGGAAGCAGCGUCGUCCCGCCAAGCAGCCUCCCUCCUCUCGGGCUCCCAAGAAGAGGCUGUUCUCGCCCGCUCCUGAUGCCGGAGUUGCUGGAGUUGCCACCUCAGCUGCUCCUCCCACCAUAACCUGGCCCGCUGAUGGAGUCAGCCCCACCUUAGGCCUAGUUUGUCCUGUUCCGGAGGCAGCAGAGUUCACCACCAUUGCUGCCUCCACUUCUCCAAUUUAUUUAGGCCUAUCCAGCGAGGACGUCAGCUGCCUCGUGUGCUCCGAGCUCUUCAGCGCCUCGAUGCCUGGGGAAGAGUGGGUCCAGUGUGUCUUUUGUUAUAAGUGGUCGCAUGAGGCUUGCACCGACGGGAGUGCACACUACCUGUGUCACCUGUGUGACAAAGAAUACAAAUAUUCAGCCUACUAUACUGUCCAUGUGUCUGCACUAGUUUGCAGUGGAAAUACUGUAAAUGUAGGCCUACAGCACAAUUCACUUAACAUUCUAGACUGAUUAACUAACUAACUAUUAGGCCUGGGUUAGGCUAUGAGUGGGAGCUGGGCUAUUAAAUAUUUCGCUGGGUAGGCCUACUUUUCGUCCAUGAUUGUAACGCAUCCAAAAUAACAACGGCUACAUUAAAUUAUGACAAUAAUAAUUGAAUUUAGUGGACAUGCACACUUAAAAACUGCUGGGUAUAAGCUAUAGGCUAGCCUUCUACACCCUUGCUCUUGGUCAUGACACAUGGCAUGCCGAUUUAUCUUUUUCUCCAGCCAUUACCAUCAAUCAGCUAGAGUGCAAUAUUAAUCAAAGUUCUGCUUGUUAUAUGAUUUCAACAUAAUGUUCAUGUCAAUGUGCAGACUAUUACACAAUAUUUAUCAGAUAAAAUAAGUUUAGCCACUUACCUGUCCACAGAGACUCCGGAUGCUUCUGUGCGCCAGGCUGUCCGUGUCGAAAAGAAAUUAACCCUGUGCGGCGCUUGGAUACAUUUCCGCUGUAACAGGUCUCGUGAUAUCCUGUUGACCUGGUCGUUUUUGUUUAAAAUAAAUAAAAGGAUGUUCAACUGUGUAUCCUUAAACAUGACUUAGGACAGGGAAAUAAGUAAAUUUAAUGAAAAUGUAGUCGUCCAAAAGAAGAAAGGUGAGUUUUAAUCGAAAUGUGCAUCUUGAUAAUUACGCACGGGCCAAAAAUAUAUUUUGACCUAUUUAUAUGAUGCGGAAUAAUGUGAAAUUUUAGCAAUGACGAGUAAACUAGUAUGUUGUCUAGUAUGUUGCAUAAAAACAAGAGUAAGGGCAAUAGAUUAUUUUUAAAAUAUGCUGUUUCAAUCGUCCCACAUGUGUGUUUCAAACGUCCCUAUUAGGCGGGGCGUUUGAAACAAAUGUCAACUUACGUUCAAAGUUAAAAAACAGCUCGAUCGUCCAACAUAUGUAUUAAAUUUCACUUGUAACUAAGAGAACACACCUGUGAGUUGUUGAUCACAUGUUAAAAUUAUUUGUAUACGUAACGUCAUCUUUGAAAAAGACGUUUAACUGAAAAGUGUUUCAAUCGACCCGGCUCUCCCCUGCUAGAGGAACGCCGUAUUUUACGCGCGUUUUGAUGUUCAAAACGCGCGUAUUUUACGCGCGCUCUUGAAAGGCUUAAUUGCGGCGUAAAAAGCGGCGCUUUUUUGCGCAUGACGGCGUAAAAUACGCUGUUUUUCUACAUUUUACGGCGUAUUUUACG
Molecule: long non-coding RNA, 4150 nt
Filed under: Gadus morhua (Atlantic cod)
Lineage: Eukaryota; Metazoa; Chordata; Actinopteri; Gadiformes; Gadidae
Description: lncRNA (ENSGMOG00000030224.1)
Source: RNAcentral